GUUUUAAUAGCUUAUGAAGAGUGUAACACUGAAGAUGUUAAGGAAGUUGUUCAACUUUAGAACG
This 64-nucleotide transfer RNA is filed under the name Hexacentrus japonicus. Its description in RNAcentral is "tRNA-Phe". It matches the Rfam family "tRNA". Rfam says of the family: Transfer RNA (tRNA) molecules are approximately 80 nucleotides in length. The record is from RNAcentral. Lineage: Eukaryota; Metazoa; Arthropoda; Insecta; Orthoptera; Tettigoniidae.